CGGCAAGACGGAAAGACCCCGUGAACCUUUACUAUAGCUUGACACUGAACAUUGAGCCUUGAUGUGUAGGAUAGGUGGGAGGCUUUGAAGUGUGGACGCCAGUCUGCAUGGAGCCGACCUUGAAAUACCACCCUUUAAUGUUUGAUGUUCUAACGUGGACCCGUAAUCCGGGUUGCGGACAGUGUCUGGUGGGUAGUUUGACUGGGGCGGUCUCCUCCUAAAGAGUAACGGAGGAGCACGAAGGUUGGCUAAUCCUGGUCGGACAUCAGGAGGUUAGUGCAAUGGCAUAAGCCAGCUUGACUGCGAGCGUGACGGCGCGAGCAGGUGCGAAAGCAGGUCAUAGUGAUCCGGUGGUUCUGAAUGGAAGGGCCAUCGCUCAACGGAUAAAAGGUACUCCGGGGAUAACAGGCUGAUACCGCCCAAGAGUUCAUAUCGACGGCGGUGUUUGGCACCUCGAUGUCGGCUCAUCACAUCCUGGGGCUGAAGUAGGUCCCAAGGGUAUGGCUGUUCGCCAUUUAAAGUGGUACGCGAGCUGGGUUUAGAACGUCGUGAGACAGUUCGGUCCCUAUCUGCCGUGGGCGCUGGAGAACUGAGGGGGGCUGCUCCUAGUACGAGAGGACCGGAGUGGACGCAUCACUGGUGUUCGGGUUGUCAUGCCAAUGGCACUGCCCGGUAGCUAAAUGCGGAAGAGAUAAGUGCUGAAAGCAUCUAAGCACGAAACUUGCCCCGA
This 730-nucleotide ribosomal RNA is filed under the name Salmonella enterica. RNAcentral describes it as "partial 23S ribosomal RNA". It matches the Rfam family "Bacterial large subunit ribosomal RNA", at positions 2073 to 2802 of the family's 2925-position model. The record is from RNAcentral. RNAcentral also lists the same sequence under 1 other name. Lineage: Bacteria; Pseudomonadati; Pseudomonadota; Gammaproteobacteria; Enterobacterales; Enterobacteriaceae.